Molecule: ribosomal RNA, 468 nt
Filed under: uncultured bacterium
Lineage: Bacteria
Description: partial 16S ribosomal RNA
Rfam family: Bacterial small subunit ribosomal RNA
Source: RNAcentral
GACGAACGCUGGCGGCGUGCUUAACACAUGCGAGUCGAACGGAAAGGCCCUGCUUUUGUGGGGUGCUCGAGUGGCGAACGGGUGAGUAACACGUGAGUAACCUGCCCUUGACUUUGGGAUAACUUCAGGAAACUGGGGCUAAUACCGGAUAGGAGCUCCUGCUGCAUGGUGGGGGUUGGAAAGUUUCGGCGGUUGGGGAUGGACUCGCGGCUUAUCAGCUUGUUGGUGGGGUAGUGGCUUACCAAGGCUUUGACGGGUAGCCGGCCUGAGAGGGUGACCGGCCACAUUGGGACUGAGAUACGGCCCAGACUCCUACGGGAGGCAGCAGUGGGGAAUAUUGCACAGUGGGCGGAAGCCUGAUGCAGCAGCGCCGCGUGCGGGAUGACGGCCUUCGGGUUGUAAACCGCUUUCGCCUGUGACGAAGCGUGAGUGACGGUAAUGGGUAAAGAAGCACCGGCUAACUACGUG